This 674-nucleotide long non-coding RNA is filed under the name Helianthus annuus (common sunflower). Its description in RNAcentral is "hypothetical non coding rna". Lineage: Eukaryota; Viridiplantae; Streptophyta; Magnoliopsida; Asterales; Asteraceae. The record is from RNAcentral.
AUGGUGUUGGGUUCCGUCGUCGCACAGUUUACUUUGGAGGAGAAGAAUGGUGCCGUCACCAUGGAAGAAAUAGAGGAGUGUUAGGGUUUGUGUUCUGUAUUCGCUUAGAAAAUUAUGGGUCAACAUCCGCAUGGAGUUCGUAUAUCAUAUGCAACAUGUGGCUCGGUUUGGGCUUUAGGUGGUGUGGGCCAUGGAGGGUGAUGUGAAGUGUGGUCUCGGCCCAAGUGUGUUAUGCAACUCACGGCCCACGUGUGUCGAGAAAUCCCGCGACCCAAUUAGUUAGUUUCUUAAAUUACUAGCCUACACAUAUAAAACGUGUAACGGUUCCUUGUAGCUAAUCAGUCGAACAUACGUAAACAAACAUACCCCAUCACGUUUUACAUUUAGCACGUAUAUACGCGAAAGAGAAAUAAUAAUAAAACAUGAUCGCGUGAGUAAGAGACACUAACCUUGAAAGUUUGGGUUGUCACAUCAUCCCCAACUUGAAAGAAAUUUCGUCCCGAAAUUUGAUAAGCCAACACAGAAGAAUGAGGUAGAAGAUUUGGAUGAACUGUGGAUUUUUUUUUUUUUUUUUUUUUUUUUUUAGGUGCCACAUCAUCCCCAACUUGAAAGAGGAAUUUCGUCCCGAAAUUCACCAGUAGUACCAGAGUUAGAUUGGUCAUCAGGAAAAAGUU